This 449-nucleotide ribosomal RNA is filed under the name uncultured bacterium. RNAcentral describes it as "partial 16S ribosomal RNA". It matches the Rfam family "Bacterial small subunit ribosomal RNA", at positions 29 to 523 of the family's 1533-position model. The record is from RNAcentral.
AGCGAACGCUGGCGGCAGGCUUAACACAUGCAAGUCGAGCGCCGUAGCAAUACGGAGCGGCAGACGGGUGAGUAACGCGUGGGAACGUGCCUUCUGGUUCGGAAUGACUCAGGGAAACUUGAGCUAAUACCGGAUAAGCCCUUCGGGGGAAAGAUUUAUCGCCGGAAGAUCGGCCCGCGUAAGAUUAGCUAGUUGGUGAGGUAAUGGCUCACCAAGGCUACGAUCUUUAGCUGGUCUGAGGGGAUGAUCAGCCACACUGGGACUGAGACACGGCCCCCCCUCCUACGGGAGGCAGCAGUGGGGUCUGUUUGCCAAUGGGCGCAAGCCUGAUCCAGCCAUGCCGCGUGCGUUCUUCCGGCCUUAGGGUUGUCCCGCUCUUUUCGCAGGGACGAUAAUGACGGUACCUGCAGAAACAGCCCCGGCCAACUUCGUGCCAGCAGCCGCCGUAA